ACCAGCUGACGAGUCCCAAAUAGGGCGAAACGCACGUCCUGGAU
This is a non-coding RNA of Schistosoma haematobium, 44 nucleotides long. Lineage: Eukaryota; Metazoa; Platyhelminthes; Trematoda; Strigeidida; Schistosomatidae. The record is from Rfam.